Molecule: ribosomal RNA, 527 nt
Filed under: uncultured endophytic bacterium
Lineage: Bacteria
Description: bacterial SSU rRNA
Rfam family: Bacterial small subunit ribosomal RNA
Source: RNAcentral
AGAGUUUGAUCCUGGCUCAGAUUGAACGCUGGCGGCAGGCCUAACACAUGCAAGUCGGACGGUAGCACAGAGGAGCUUGCUCCUUGGGUGACGAGUGGCGGACGGGUGAGUAAUGUCUGGGGAUCUGCCCGAUAGAGGGGGAUAACCACUGGAAACGGUGGCUAAUACCGCAUAACGUCGCAAGACCAAAGAGGGGGACCUUCGGGCCUCUCACUAUCGGAUGAACCCAGAUGGGAUUAGCUAGUAGGCGGGGUAAUGGCCCACCUAGGCGACGAUCCCUAGCUGGUCUGAGAGGAUGACCAGCCACACUGGAACUGAGACACGGUCCAGACUCCUACGGGAGGCAGCAGUGGGGAAUAUUGCACAAUGGGCGCAAGCCUGAUGCAGCCAUGCCGCGUGUAUGAAGAAGGCCUUCGGGUUGUAAAGUACUUUCAGCGGGGAGGAAGGCGAUGUGGUUAAUAACCGCGUCGAUUGACGUUACCCGCAGAAGAAGCACCGGCUAACUCCGUGCCAGCAGCCGCGGUAAU